GGAACCUUACCUGGGCUCGACGUAAGAUGACUGUAGGUGAAAGACUUACAUCUCUUCGGAGCAUUUUACGAGGUGCUGCAUGGUUGUCGUCAGCUCGUGCCGUGAGGUGUCGGGUUAAGUCCCAUAACGAGCGCAACCCCUACCUUUAGUUGCCAUCAGGUUAAGCUGGGGACUCUAAAGGAACUGCCUACGCAAGUAGUGAGGAAGGCGGGGAUGACGUCAAAUCAGCACGGCCCUUACGUCCAGGGCUACACACGUGCUACAAUGGCCGAUACAGAGGGCAGCUACCUGGUGACAGGAUGCAAAUCUCCAAAGUCGGUCUCAGUUCGGAUCGGAGUCUGCAACCCGACUCCGUGAAGUUGGAUUCGCUAGUAAUCGCGCAUCAGCCAUGGCGCGGUGAAUACGUUCCCGGGCCUU
RNAcentral lists this ribosomal RNA (417 nucleotides) under uncultured Sphingobacteriales bacterium. Its description in RNAcentral is "bacterial SSU rRNA". It matches the Rfam family "Bacterial small subunit ribosomal RNA", at positions 965 to 1382 of the family's 1533-position model. The record is from RNAcentral. Lineage: Bacteria; Pseudomonadati; Bacteroidota; Sphingobacteriia; Sphingobacteriales.